Molecule: ribosomal RNA, 253 nt
Filed under: uncultured bacterium
Lineage: Bacteria
Description: partial 16S ribosomal RNA
Rfam family: Bacterial small subunit ribosomal RNA
Source: RNAcentral
UACAGAGGUGGCAAGCGUUGUUCGGAAUUACUGGGCGUAAAGGGCGCGUAGGCGGCCCGUCAAGUCCCGUGUGAAAGCCCCCGGCUCAACCGGGGAACGGCGCGGGAAACUAGCAGGCUUGAGUUCGGGAGAGGGAAGCGGAAUUCCGGGUGUAGCGGUGAAAUGCGCAGAUAUCCGGAGGAACACCGGUGGCGAAGGCGGCUUCCUGGACCGACACUGACGCUGAGGCGCGAAAGCUAGGAGAGCAAACGGG